UUUGGGUUAAUAUCGGAUUUUGAUAGAAAGACUGGGACGCAAAUCUCAGAACGCAAACUUCUGUUACAGAACGAUUGACGAAUAUAAACAGAUAUAUUAUCUGUGUGAAUCACACUAAUUUACUCGAAGGAUUUUAUAAGGCGUCCCUCUGCAGAAGACCAUUUCAACGCAUUCUAGAUGGCAGCUGGAUUUAUUGUCGUAAUUGCUUUAACAACAAACUAUUUCAACGAAACGAGCGUUGAAUUGCGAUGUGAACACAAUAGCAAUCAACGCGUAGCAGUUGGAUUUUACAGAAAAGUCCCAUAUUCAAACGCAUUUGAAAGAACAAUAGCAAUAGGAGGAAAAACAGAAAACUGCACGGUCACGCCUUUACCAGAUAACGUCAAGUGUUAUUGUAUUAGUGAACAAAAUAUGGGCUGCAAGAUUUACCAACAAAGACCUACCAAUGACGGCGAAAAAUGGAAAUGUGCCAUCCCUAGCAAUAGUAUUGCUGUAUUCAGUAACAUUGUUCGUCUGUCCUUUUCUGGUAAGUAUGUGAUCAAAGGCGAUGAACCAACAAGUCCAGUUUAACGUAAAUAAUAAUUAUUAGCCCGAUAAUGUCAGAAUAUUGAAGCUGUGUUAAAAUGUCAGUUAUAUUGAGAAAAAGAUAAAUUAUUACCUAGCUCAAGCAAAAACAAAAACAACGUUAACUAAAAAUGCAUAUUACAUUAAUAUUAUGACAUAAAUGAAAUACAACACGUUGCUUUCAAAUAUGUUAAACAGUGUACUUUGUUUAUAUUGAUUUAGGUGCAAAAUCCUUUGGCGAGAAUACACCUGUUUCUGUUGCUAUGGGCAUCGUCAUCUCUUUAAUGGUGUUCCUUUAACAACUGCAGUUAAUGCGCACAUGAAACAACAAUCACGUAACAUUCUUACUUUAUGCGAUUGA
Dreissena polymorpha is the source of this 925-nucleotide long non-coding RNA. RefSeq lists it as uncharacterized. Lineage: Eukaryota; Metazoa; Mollusca; Bivalvia; Myida; Dreissenidae. The record is from RefSeq and is a predicted model, not a curated record. The transcript has 3 exons.